Molecule: ribosomal RNA, 253 nt
Filed under: uncultured bacterium
Lineage: Bacteria
Description: partial 16S ribosomal RNA
Rfam family: Bacterial small subunit ribosomal RNA
Source: RNAcentral
UACGUAGGUGGCAAGCGUUGUCCGGAAUUAUUGGGCGUAAAGAGCUCGUAGGCGGUCUGUCACGUCGGCUGUGAAAACCCGAGGCUCAACCUCGGGCCUGCAGUCGAUACGGGCAAACUAGAGUGUUGCAGGGGAGACUGGAAUUCCUGGUGUAGCGGUGAAAUGCGCAGAUAUCAGGAGGAACACCGGUGGCGAAGGCGGGUCUCUGGGCAACAACUGACGCUGAGGUGCGAAAGCGUGGGGAGCAAACAGG